Molecule: non-coding RNA, 30 nt
Filed under: Rattus norvegicus (Norway rat)
Lineage: Eukaryota; Metazoa; Chordata; Mammalia; Rodentia; Muridae
Source: RNAcentral
UGGGAACAUGCUAUCUUAUGGUUGAAGGUC